GUGGCGUCCGCUCGCCGGUAAAGGGCUUCUGCAGGGAACCUUUCCGUGUUGCCUGGCCCUUGGUUGCUUGCUUCAGUAGGGUCUUAGUGCCCCCGCCAUCCCCGGCGGCCUGCUCUACGUGAUUGCCUCUCAGAUAAGCACUAGCGCUGGCAGAUCCUCUUUUCUCUUCUGUAUAGAAGCUCUCAAUGUGCCGCAACAACAACAGCGAGGACGGGGACUGUCCUGGCUGCUUCGGGUUCCUAGCCUCGUGGAUUCCAGGGCUGCGCUACCCGACUAAGCGUUGCAUGUCUCAAGACAGGUCGACCUUCUCCAGUUGCAGCUCUGGCUCCAUGGAUACCAAGGGUGCCUCCAACGAUGUCACAGAUGUGGACGACGAGAGCCCCCUGUCAGAGGAGUCACGGUCUUCGUCGACUGGAUCGUGGAGCUCGAUGGGCGAUCUCCAAACCACGGAGAGUGCGGAGAGCGAUGCGCCAUCGGAGGAGUCGGACCCGCAGGAGCGGGUACGACGGGCAACCGCAUCUUUCCUCCAGUGGAAAAACAAGGAGUACGUGCCGCUCAGCCCUGACGAGAAACGUGCCAUCAAGGAGUACCGCAAGACGGUUGCACAAGAGGAAGGGACCUAUACGAGCACGCGGGCGCAACGGCAGCGAGGCGGGGCUCCAAAGGAGCUCAUUUCGCGUGAGGACGAGUGGGUCGAUCUCGGUACUCCGGUCGAGGACGGUGGGCUGGUACGGCGCCGCAAUAGAAAGAUCCGCUUCGUUGCUGCGGUGAUAGCCAGCAAAGAAGUUGACGUGCACAACGAUGGGCUCGUCGUGGUGACAGACACGGGUGAGGAGGUGCCGGAACUGCCGCGUUGCGCCUCGAUUCUGCGGACGUCCUGCGUGAAACAUUUGACGGAGGAGCCGCCGGUGUUCGUGGAGGACUUGAAUAGCUGCAUGCUGGAGGAAGAAGGGCAAUCCUGCGAGUCCGCACUGUGUGUGCCGGGAGUUUCAUAGGUAGGCUUAUAUAUAUAUAUAUAUAUGUUUGCAGCUGCUCUUGCUAUCCCUUGCUUCAUUUGGUUCUCCUUGGGCUUAGCAGCCGUGAAGAGAAGCACGGCCACGCUCAUCGGCACGCUGUGGAUGUCCUCUCCACCACCUUCGCUGCGACUCUCUCCAUCCCCUGCGCUCUCGUCGUCGCCACCGGUGCUUUGGUGGUCUUUUCGCGCUGCUGUGGGGAGGGGGGAGGGGGCGCGUGGCCGACUGGUUUUGUCUGCCCUGUCGCUUUCCCAUUAUCCUUUCGAUUCCCUGUUUGACCUCCCUGUGGAGCUUCAUCACAGCCGGCGCGUAUUUGGUGACGGUGCGUCGGCAUGUUGUCUCUCUGUGAUGUCAUGGGCCCCUUUCGUUCGCUCAUCCUUUUACUGUUCCCAUGGCCGUCGCUUCUUGUUAUUCUUCGCCAACGGGCCCGUGUCUGUGCUUGUAUGGUGUUGUCUUCCGAUCUUCGCAUGUCUUCCUCUUAGGAUGCCCAUGCAUACAUGUAUGUAUAUAUAUAUACGUUUGUACGUGUAUGUGUGUGCCAUUUCACCUCCCAUCCCGCUACUGUCCUUUUCCACGCGUGCCGCUUGACUCACCCCCGCCUCUUUUUCUAUAUGUGCAUGUGUGUUGUGUGUGCCUUUGCGGGCGAAUGAUAGUGUGCUCCGCGUAUGUGUCCAUCCCUCAUCUGUCUGUCUUUUCUCUCUCGAUGUAAUGCCAUGCAUGCUGUAGCGUACUUGUCUGUUGUGCCACCCCUGCGUGUGUGUCUGUUUGCAUCUGUGCACACCUGUGCGCUUCUCUGUCGUUGGGCGUUUUCGCAGCCCGCCUCCCGCAACUACUGCUGCGCGAGAGUCGUGCCUCGCCCCACUUCCUCUCUAACUCGCGCAAGUGUUUUCGCUUCCCUUUUCUUUGUUUUGCGUCUUCGCUCUUCGCCUGCACCCCUCCCCCUCUUUCUCGCUCGUCACGCUCAUCCCUGUAUGCAGACAGACAGAGAGCGAGGAGAGAGGGAGGAAGGAGUGGGGUGGGGGUGAGGGAAGGGGUAAAAGAUGGCGCCUUUGUUUCCCCUUGUUUGCAGUUCAUUAUGCCCGUGAGUACAAACGUGUGAGUGUGUGUGUGUGUGUGUGUAAGGUGUGAUAACGCAUGAGAGGCGCUGUUUUGUUGUUUUGUCGUUACACGCAUUCUCGCAUCCCGACACGUCUCUCUGAGAUGGGCAUGGCUCACUCCGCUCGCGUUGCGGAUGCACCAUCCUAGUCCCCGUUCACCUCCUCACCUCUCCCCUCCCCUACCUCCUCGUGUUUCCCGCACCGUGUCCUUUCAUAUGUGUGCUACGUGACGCUUCUUCGCCUUCCGUCAGUGCACCUCCUCCUUCUCUCCCCUCGCUUUUCCCGUCGCCUUCACUUGACCUCUAUCCACCCUUUUUCUUCCUUACUCUUCCUAUGUCUCGUUGUGCAUCCCAUCGGCAACGUGCGUCAUGGGGGUGUUAGCGGGCGGCAAUGACUCUGUCGUGGCUCACUCGGCUCAACCCUCUCCCUCUGCACACACACACACACGCCCUCCUCAACUUUUCUUUCUCUCCCUCCCUCUGUGCAAUUAAGAUUGUGUCUUGCGAGGGUUCGUCGUUAGAAGCGAAAAGAGAAGGGCUAGCGUGCACGCAGUUGCGCCGCGUAUGCUUCUGUCCCUUGCGUGCGUGUGCCCGUCAUUUUUUCGUUAUCGCUGCCUCCGCGAGAACCGCCGCGGUUGCCGUCUCUACCGAGUAAACUCCUCCUCUCUCUCCUUCUCUCUCCGUGUUUUGUUCUCUCUCGAUCACCAUCCCUGCCUUCGCGCCGUUGUUCGCGUGCAAUGACAGCUUACUCGACGGCAACGGAGUGAAGCCCGUGGCGCUCUCGAGGGCUUCGAAGACGGGCUCUCUUUCUUCAUUUGUUCGUGUUGCUAGCUGUUGUGUCGCGCGCGCACACAGCUGUUUCUCUCGCCCUAUGUGUAUCCUGCUGGCGUUCUCCUCACCCCUGGCGUCCUCUCCGCGGACCGUUUUUUUUUGCUGGUCUGUCACCCUGCUCUGCCAUCACAUCUUGUCAUCCGCUGCGCACGUCGGUGUGCGUGAAUGUGUAUGUGUGUUGUCUUUUAUUCAUUCCUUUUGCCUUUGAUUUCUUUGUUUCGUUGCCCGCUGCGGCUCCCCGAUGCUGCAGGACACCCCAGCGCGUGGCAUCAGGGCCCAAUAUCGACUCUUUGUGUGAACGCCAAAAGUCUGCAGCCUGUCCUCGGGUGCUGGUUUCGGGCUCUUGGUGUCAGCGGACAGGUCGGGGCUGGCGCUGUGCCGCAGAGACUCGCGGCUAUGAUUACGUUUGUGCCCGCUCACUACGAAUCGUGCCGAGGAUUCGACAAAUAUGUGCAUCCGCCGCCUGUCAAAGGCGUGCGGAUGCAGGGGAAGGUGGAGUGUGCCCCGUGCCGCCGCAGACUCACAGCAACGUCUCGCCUGUCGCUGCACAUGCGGGCAAGCCAUCCAGGCACGACUCCAUGGCGUCGGCGGAAGCGGCAGAUGACGGCAGCGAGCCCCCUCCCUAUACAAGCGAGCAGCGCCGUACUGGAGCAGGCCCCAGGAUGCAAGAAUGCGAGUGCUGUGCGCCGGCGCUGUCGAGCACAAGCCGGCAUGGCGUCUUGCAUCCGAGCAAGGCGCGAAGAGAUCUAUACCGAUCAACCCCCCCUCCUCAGUGCAUGUGCGCGAAAUGUGCGACACCUCCUCGAUCCGACUGGGUGGGCUGAGGAGGCACAGAUGCCGGGGGAGGGGGGGGGCAUGACGCGAGCACUCCGAACGGCUGCAUCGAGUCCUCCGGGCUCCCAUGUGGAGAGUCUCCACACCGUAUUACGGCAUGCCGCUGCUUGAGUCGACUGAAAGAGAGGCCUGGCACACAGACAGGGGGUGUGCAGGGUCUCAGAGUGCCCUGGCCUGGGGCCGGCCAACCUCCUCUCUGCGCUCAUCCGGCGCGCACCUGGACCACCCCCUGAUCACCCGCACGACAGACGCCACCGGUUCCGCCCUUGAGCAGUAUGCACGCUUCUCUUGCUCUUUUCUUUCUAUUUCUGCUCUCUUCUCAGAGAAUGUACGCCUGCAACUCCUCUGUCGUUGGACGCGCUCGCACGUGCCUCGGUGGCACGGCUGCUUGUGUUGUGGGUCUUUGCUACUGUGUUUGGUUCUCUACUCCUUGAGACGUCCUGUCGCUGGGUGGUGAUGGCUUGUGUAGUCACUCACGAUUCGUGCGUACGCAUGCGCACAGAUGUGCGCUGUGCACUGGUGUGUUGCUGACCUGCUCGGGCACUGCUUACGUUUGUGGCUCUCCUUGCCGUUCUCUCUGGCUCCGUUUUCUUUUGCCUUCAUUCGGCUAUGCGCUUCUUGCGAAGCGCUCUCUGCUCUGCCUUGGAGCCAGCGCGUGCCGGCCCGCUUGCCUCCCUCCUCUUCUUCUCUCUUGCAUGUCGUUCAAGUAAGAGGGAUGAAGGAGCACAGCUCUCACCGUUCUCUUACUGUGAUUCGCGAACC
RNAcentral lists this unclassified non-coding RNA (4536 nucleotides) under Leishmania donovani. RNAcentral's name for it is "gene:LdHU3.31.5050(CDS-product:hypothetical_prote in_conserved)". Lineage: Eukaryota; Euglenozoa; Kinetoplastea; Trypanosomatida; Trypanosomatidae. The record is from RNAcentral.